Molecule: long non-coding RNA, 513 nt
Filed under: Nicotiana benthamiana
Lineage: Eukaryota; Viridiplantae; Streptophyta; Magnoliopsida; Solanales; Solanaceae
Description: long non-coding RNA (NBEN_LNC003747)
Rfam family: tRNA (bases 331-389)
Source: RNAcentral
UUCGUGAUUCAAACUGCCGGUACGCUUUCCGGCUCGCAACGACUCAAAGGGGCGGGGGCUAUAUAUUUGCUUGCAAAGCAGGCUGUUCGCCUUUCGGAAAGGGCGAGCCUAUUUGAUUCAAAAGGCGCUACUAAACUACUCUAGUACAGCUAGUGUUAGUAGUACAACAGAAUGCCGUUCACCCCGCAAGCCCUUCGUAUGCAAGCCCUACUGAAGUACCAAAGGCGAACGGCAUUAGUACAGCUGUUAAGAAUACUCUCCGAUGUUGACUUUGUAAACUAAUAGGCCGGUAGGUUACUUUUGAAUCAAAGUAGCGACGAAAGGGGGAAAUAGCUCAGUCGGUUAGAGUGCUGGUCUGUCACGCCAGAAGUCGCGGGUUCGAACUCUAUACAAAGGGCCUUUCCUUUCAAAUGACAACUGCCUCUUCCUGCUGCGAGGGCCUUGAAACCAAACCGCCCCCCGCCCGAAAAUGCCCAUUCCUUUCUCGUUGGGGGUCAAAAUGCUCGCUGUCCU